RNAcentral lists this ribosomal RNA (615 nucleotides) under bacterium CAC11. RNAcentral's name for it is "bacterial SSU rRNA". It matches the Rfam family "Bacterial small subunit ribosomal RNA", at positions 31 to 634 of the family's 1533-position model. The record is from RNAcentral.
AUGCGCUGGCGGCCGGCCUACACAUGCCAUUCCACCCGGCAGAAGAAAAAAGCUUGCUCUUUCCCGUGGCGAGUGGGAGACGGGUGAGUAAUGUCUGGGAAACUGCCCGAUGGAGGGUUAUCCCUACUGGAAACGGUAGCUAAUACCGCAUAACGUCGCAAGACCAAAGUGGGGGACCUUCGGGCCUCACACCAUCAGAUGUGCCCAGAUGGGAUUAGCUAGUAGGUGGGGUAACGGCUCACCUAGGCGACGAUCCCUAGCUGGUCUGAGAGGAUGACCAGCCACACUGGAACUGAGACACGGUCCAGACUCCUACGGGAGGCAGCAGUGGGGAAUAUUGCACAAUGGGCGCAAGCCUGAUGCACCCAUGCCGCGUGUAUGAAAAAGGCCUUCGGGUUGUAAAGUACUUUCCGCGGGGAGGAAGGCGAUGCGGUUAAUAACCGCGUCUAUUGACGUUACCCGCAAAAAAAGCACCGGCUAACUCCGUGCCAGCAGCCGCGGUAAUACAGGGGGUGCAAGCUUUAAUCGGAAUUACUGGGCGUAAAGCGCACGCGGGCGGUCUGUCAAGUCAGAUGUGAAAUCCCCGGGCUUAACCUGGAAACUGCAUUCGAAACU